CCUACGGGGAUGCAGCAGUGGGGAAUUUUGGACAAUGGGGGAAACCCUGAUCCAGCCAUCCCGCGUGUAUGAUGAAGGCCUUCGGGUUGUAAAGUACUUUUGGCAGAGAAGAAAAGGUAUCUCCUAAUACGAGAUACUGCUGACGGUAUCUGCAGAAUAAGCACCGGCUAACUACGUGCCAGCAGCCGCGGUAAUACGUAGGGUGCAAGCGUUAAUCGGAAUUACUGGGCGUAAAGCGUGUGUAGGCGGUUCGGAAAGAAAGAUGUGAAAUCCCAGGGCUCAACCUUGGAACUGCAUUUUUAACUGCCGAGCUAGAGUAUGUCAGAGGGGGGUAGAAUUCCACGUGUAGCAGUGAAAUGCGUAGAUAUGUGGAGGAAUACCGAUGGCGAAGGCAGCCCCCUGGGAUAAUACUGACGCUCAGACACGAAAGCGUGGGGAGCAAACAGGAUUAGAUACCCUGGUAGUCCACGCCCUAAACGAUGUCAACUAGCUGUUGGGGCCGUUAGGCCUUAGUAGCGCAGCUAACGCGUGAAGUGAUGCCUGGGGAGUACCGUCACAG
This 559-nucleotide ribosomal RNA is filed under the name Alcaligenes sp. LJ4. RNAcentral describes it as "bacterial SSU rRNA". It matches the Rfam family "Bacterial small subunit ribosomal RNA", at positions 338 to 891 of the family's 1533-position model. Lineage: Bacteria; Pseudomonadati; Pseudomonadota; Betaproteobacteria; Burkholderiales; Alcaligenaceae. The record is from RNAcentral.